This 201-nucleotide long non-coding RNA is filed under the name Daucus carota (carrot). Its description in RNAcentral is "long non-coding RNA (DCAR_LNC002012)". Lineage: Eukaryota; Viridiplantae; Streptophyta; Magnoliopsida; Apiales; Apiaceae. The record is from RNAcentral.
ACUUGAGAUGGAACAGAGGAGCAAACGACAUGGAGGAAAAUCAAAGUCUGUUGCUCUGAAAGUUCAAGAGGAAAGCUGCUAAGAGCAAGGGAAAAGCUCAUGUCACAAAGUCUGACAUUGAGACAUCAAACUCUGAUGACUCAAACUCUGAUGUUCCCUCAGACUCUGAAGAAAGUGAUGAUGAGAUGAUGCAGUUAGCAG